UGAGAAAGGGCCGCUUCUUACUCUCGGGGGUGGCUUCGAGGGAGAGACGCCAGCCCUCAGAGAACGGAAUCUAAUCCAGAUUGUUAACGAGUUGGAAUUGCUCCGGCGGCGUUC
RNAcentral lists this non-coding RNA (114 nucleotides) under Chlorarachnion reptans. The record is from RNAcentral. Lineage: Eukaryota; Cercozoa; Chlorarachniophyceae.